Molecule: long non-coding RNA, 1600 nt
Organism: Homo sapiens (human)
Lineage: Eukaryota; Metazoa; Chordata; Mammalia; Primates; Hominidae
Gene: SNHG11
Product: small nucleolar RNA host gene 11
Source: Ensembl
AGCCGUAUUUCCGCGGGCGCUGAGCACUAGAGAGAGCGUCUUGUGGCUGCGGCCUGCCCCUCAGCCUCCUCCGCGCGGUUACCCCUGUACCCGCCGCCAUCCGUCCUGGCGCUCCGGAUGAGUCAAUGAGGGGCAGGGCCCGAGGAGUGGUCUUCCCAAGAACCCCUGGUGGCCUCCCAAGGCCGGUGCUGUGUACCUCCUCCCCGACAAAAGGGGAAACUGAGGCCCCGAGGGGAGUGGGAAGAGCCGGCUGGACGUCAGGCCCAGCCGCUGGUGCAGUGGUCCGUCCCCUCUGCCGGGGUGGGCCCCUCGGGUUUCGCGUGUCCUCGGGAAAGAGACUGGCGGGUGAGCCGCGCCCUCGGCCUUCGCUGGGCUAAGCCGACCCCAUGCAGACGUCAAACCCCCCUAGGUCGGCACAGCCUCUCUGCGGGGAGGCUUAGUGCCCCCUUGAGAAACGGCUUGGCAACGCUGUGCCCGGGGCCUUGCACGCGGGCUGAGGGGGCUAGAGACCUCGCGACUUUUACUCCCCCGACCCCGAUCUCCGACUCCUGACUUUGGAAGCCCCCAAAGCUGCUUUUCGGUUGCCUACAAAGUGUCGGUCAUUGUGCCACGUCCUUGGAACCGUGAACUCAUUUUCUCCUCAAUAACCUUUAAAAAGUAGCUGUAAAACCUCCAUUUUACAGACCAGUUGGCUGAGGUUUAAAUGGAGGACGCUCCCAGGGCCCCAGAGGGGCGAAUUCCAGACUCCUUUGCCAGGACCUUGUACUAAGCCCCUUCCCUACGCUUUUCCCUGCCUAGGCCUCGUGGGCUGUGCGGCUAUCCUGGAGACAGAUGACAGCUCUCCCUUGGAUGGCUUUGCUGGUUCCGCACCAGCCAGCGCCCCCAUUUUUCCUGCAGCACCCUGAUCUGCACUCCCUGAGGGGCUCCCACUGUCCGCGGUGUGAGGAUGUCCCUGGAUAGUCCACUGUGUGCAGAGGCAUGGGAGUUGUCAUGUUGGGAACAUGCUAGACCUCAGUAUCCUUGAGCUUGAAGAAAGACGACAGAACACUGGAGACCAAGUACUUACAGCCUUCUGCUCUGUGGCCCCUCCUCACUCCAGGGAUGCUGCCUUGGGUCUGGAAACUGUUAGAGGAAACCCCAAGAGGUGCAGGCACUGAGCCUCUCAGGACAAUGACCUGGGGUCCCAGCUCCCCUGGAGGGGCCUCCUCAUGAUUGUUUGGGGGUUGAUCACAGACCAAGAGUGACGAGUGAUGUCACCCUGUGACUCAUGGCUGGACCUUCUUGCCCCUAUUGUCUCAGCACAACAUUAUUCGACUUUUCCCUCAGCGUGGGUGGGCAGAGGAAAAGCCCUGUGGCUCUGGGGACUUGGGAUCCAGAGUUGAAGACCCUUCAGCUGGCUCUGCCCUGCCAGUGCCACAGAGUGCCAUGGCCCAGGAAGACAGGUUUUCUUCCAUCUAGGCCAGGCCAUCCAGUGGCCAUCCUCCGUGUCCUCCCGCCUCCUCCUGGUGUGACUUCUGAAAACCAAGAAUUUGUUCCUGUUGACUUUUUCUGUGCUAUGGACCAUUGUCCUCUCACCCACUCAAUAAAUCUUGAAACAUGC